This 72-nucleotide transfer RNA is filed under the name Camelus bactrianus (Bactrian camel). It matches the Rfam family "tRNA". From Rfam's summary of the family: Transfer RNA (tRNA) molecules are approximately 80 nucleotides in length. Their secondary structure includes four short double-helical elements and three loops (D, anti-codon, and T loops). The record is from Rfam by way of RNAcentral. Lineage: Eukaryota; Metazoa; Chordata; Mammalia; Artiodactyla; Camelidae. RNAcentral also lists the same sequence under 1 other name.
UGGGGUAUAGCUCAGUGAUAGAGUGCAUGCUUAGCAUGCAUGAGGUCCUGGUUUCAAUCCUCAGCACCUCCU